Non-coding RNA from Phascolarctos cinereus (koala), 3329 nucleotides. The record is from RefSeq and is a predicted model, not a curated record. Lineage: Eukaryota; Metazoa; Chordata; Mammalia; Diprotodontia; Phascolarctidae.
CGUGAGCGCGCGCCCGUGUGACUGCGCCCUGGAGGACGCGUGUGCUCAGGAGAGAGAGCCUGGGCGGCAGUGUCAGAGAGGCUCUCAUCCUCGGGCCUCUGGACAUCUGCCUGCGAAGGACCCAAGGACCGGCUCGCGUGAUUCCCAGACGCCGGCUCCCGGCCCCUACUGCAGGAAGGGCCUCUAGCCUUUGCUCCCCGCCCUCCCCGGCUUCCAAGCCUCGACCAGCUCUCAUCCUCGGGCCUCUGGACAUCUGCCUGCGAAGGACCCAAGGACCGGCUCGCGUGAUUCCCAGACGCCGGCUCCCGGCCCCUACUGCAGGAAGGGCCUCUAGCCUUUGCUCCCCGCCCUCCCCGGCUUCCAAGCCUCGACCAUUCUGUUGGAAUAGAGUUGAGCAAAAUAACACCGAACAGUUGUUUUUAUUCUUCUUCAUCGAUUGUGAAUUCACCUUUUAAAUUUCUGGUACUGCCUUAGGUAAGAAGAGGAGCAAGAACUUCCUCUGAUCACUUGCCUUCCAUUUCCUGCUGUGCGUGCCCCCCUGAAGGAAGGCUGGUGGCUCUGCUUCAGUGCAAGACAUCUUACACCUCCUACUGACAGACUGACUCCUGCUGGUGAGAGAUUCUCUGUGGAGAGCCUCUGGUGUGAAGAGGAGCAGCAUUCCCUUCGACCUCAGCCCUUCCAUCUCCUGCUGCACCUGUCCCUUGAGGGAAGAGGAAAGUCAGCAGGGAGUGGGACUUCGAACUCCUGCUGCAUCACCUUCUGACUCAUCUCCAGCCUUCUGACAGAAGAGAAGCAGUGAAAUGGGGCCUCCCAUCUGACCAUCUGACUGUGUGCCUUCCAUUUUCUGCUGUACUUGUCUUUUGCCUGAUCUUCAGCCUCCUCUGGGAAGAGGAGUGGUGCCUUCCCUUCAAUAAUGAACAUUCCCACAACUGGUCACACUUUACAGAUCCCAGUGAUUCUGAACCCCUAUAGGUCAUCAUCCAAACCCCAUUCUCCAUCCCCCACCACCCGAUUCCUUAUUUCCAUCCCCCUCAACCCUCCCACCCCAAAGUCCCAGCCAAAUGCUGCCCCUUCCACUGUGUCCUCUGGAAUGCCUGUUCCAUAGGCAACAAACUUCCCUUCAUUCUAAAUCCUCUUCCCCUCCCACUCCAUCCAUCUUCUAGCUAUCACUGAAACCUGGCUGCCCUCUGAUGACACAGCAUCCCUGGCCACACUUUCAAGUACUGGCUGUACUUUCACUCAUUAUCCGUGGCUUACUGGUCGAGGCAGAGGAGUUGGAAUGCCCCACUGCCACUUCCAGGUUCUCCCUUCCUCCAUCUCUCAGCAGCCUCUCCUUUGAGGGUCAUGCAGUUGGUCCCUUCCACCUAAUCACAAUCCUGGUAGCUGUUGUCUACAUACCUCCAGGCAACCUCCCUUCCUUGUUCGAUGAAUUCAGUUAUGUCUCACAGUUUUUCUUGCCUCGCCAACUCCUGUUUUCAUACUGGUGGACUUCAAUGUACCUAUUGACUUUUACUCAAAACAGCCUAACCACUCAUUCCCCUGACUUACUCCUGCACCUUUUAGCCACCCACAAAGGUGGUCAUACCCUUGUCACCCACAAAUGUUCAAGAAGUCUGAAAUCCCCUUUUUUGACCAUAAUAUAUUAGUUUUUUACAUCCCUCUUUCCUUAUCACACCCUACUUUUCAUCCAUUCCUAUCCCUUAACUCCGCCAUUCUUUCCAAUCCCAUCUCUACUGCACUAGCCAUUCUUUUUUCUUCUCUAACCUGACAUCUUUGUUAACCAAUUCACCUCUACACUGCCCUCUUCAAUCACUGGCCCCCCCAAAGUAUCCCUGCUUAUGCCCAUUCAAGCUUCACUUUUGAGUGACUCCCACCAUUUACCACUUUCUGACUUUACAGGUACACGCACGCGCGCACACACACACACACACACACACACACACACACACACACACACAUACACUGGUGAACAAAGGUAGAAACAAUCACAGUCGCUCUGAGUCUGCUAUAAAUUUAUGUUACCCAGUUUUUUGAUGAUAUCCCGUGUACAGAAUCAAAAUGGACAGGGCAUUAAGAGCACCAUCUUGUGGCUGACUCAGAUAUUAUACUCUUCUUGUGGCAUUGUGUGUCCAAAACAUAGUAUUAGACUUGGACUCAUUUAAAACCUAGAUUUACUGGAUUGCAACCCAUGUGGCACCUAACUCACAUUUAACCAAUGUGAAGGAUGGCAGAAUGGAGCAGAAAAGAAUGAUGGGUUGAAGUAAGUUGUGAACUCCUUCUGUGUCAAUAUAAAUUCAGACUAAAUCAUCCUCAUUAAAAUUGCCCAUUACAGUCUUACCCCUAUGAAAGGUCAUCUGACAUAGGAUUAAGACUUAAUAGCAGUGGAGAUAGUGUUGAGCGGAUUUCAGCCCACAAUGUACCUGUUGCCCAUCUACAAAAGUAAAUAUUGAAGGAAAUAAAUACAGGGAAGAGAAAUGAUCAUUUUAAUAGCAUUUCUUAAGUUGGCAUUAAAAUUAGAAAAUAAAUAACACAAGUUUGACUUGUGGUAACAUUUUACUAGCGUUAAAUUGGGUAUGCAGGCGAUUGCUUGUCCAGGAGGGUGAGGGCUUAUCAAAACCAUUAAUGCUGGAGUAUUCAAAAUCAGAUAGUAGGUGAGGCUUACAGCAGUGCUCUAAUCAUUGUACUCAGUAGUCAAGCUAGGAUUCAGAUCUGGUGCUUCUGACUCCAAUUACAGUGAUCUUACCACUGGACCAUGUUCUCCAUCUUCCUCCAUCUGUGGCAAUCCAUUCUGAACCAAUCCAUCUCUCUCUCUCUCUCUCUCACUCUCCCCCCGUCUCCCUCCCCCCCGCCCUCCUUUUUUCCUCCCUCCCCUCUCCUUUCAGUCACUACCAAUCUUUUCCAAUGUAUGGUCUACAUGUGCUGUCUCAAAUUCCCUUUCUACCUACCCAUUCCUUAGGUUAGUAAGUGGGUCCGCAGGCUCAUAGUCAAAGAUUUAUGUCUGGAGUGGACCUCAGAACCCAUCUAGUUCAAUCCCCUUAUUUGACAGAGGCUAAAGGAGAUGAAGUGAUUUGUAUGAGAUGAUGCAGUUUGCAAGUGCCUGAAGCAGGAUUUGACACCAGGUCUUCCUGCCUCAAAGAUCAGGGGUGUAGCCAUGAGAUCAUACUUUCUCUUAUCCCCUCAUCUUAUUUGGUUACUCUUAUCUCUAAGUUCUAAGACAAGUGUAAUGGAUCGAUUUAUUUUUGAAAUUAUAAAAGAAAACUUAUUUUCCCCAAAUACAGUGUUCCUUGUGGUAAACAUUGAAUAGAUAAUUGUUGAUCUGACUUAAGUUC